Molecule: ribosomal RNA, 497 nt
Filed under: uncultured bacterium
Lineage: Bacteria
Description: partial 16S ribosomal RNA
Rfam family: Bacterial small subunit ribosomal RNA
Source: RNAcentral
GAUGAACGCUGGCGGCGUGCCUAAUACAUGCAAGUCGAGCGAACAGACGAGGAGCUUGCUCCUCUGACGUUAGCGGCGGACGGGUGAGUAACACGUGGAUAACCUACCUAUAAGACUGGGAUAACUUCGGGAAACCGGAGCUAAUACCGGAUAAUAUAUUGAACCGCAUGGUUCAAUAGUGAAAGACGGUUUUGCUGUCACUUAUAGAUGGAUCCGCGCCGCAUUAGCUAGUUGGUAAGGUAACGGCUUACCAAGGCAACGAUGCGUAGCCGACCUGAGAGGGUGAUCGGCCACACUGGAACUGAGACACGGUCCAGACUCCUACGGGAGGCAGCAGUAGGGAAUCUUCCGCAAUGGGCGAAAGCCUGACGGAGCAACGCCGCGUGAGUGAUGAAGGUCUUCGGAUCGUAAAACUCUGUUAUUAGGGAAGAACAAAUGUGUAAGUAACUAUGCACGUCUUGUCGGUACCUAAUCAGAAAGCCACGGCUAACUACGUG